RNAcentral lists this long non-coding RNA (385 nucleotides) under Manihot esculenta (cassava). RNAcentral describes it as "long non-coding RNA (MESC_LNC001784)". Lineage: Eukaryota; Viridiplantae; Streptophyta; Magnoliopsida; Malpighiales; Euphorbiaceae. The record is from RNAcentral.
AAUUUCUUAAUAAAAAAAUAAAAAUUAACAAAUCAUAAAUCAACAACACCCAUUAUAAUUAAUUUCUAAAUAAACAUUGACAUUUAUGAUUCAUCACAAGAUUCACAACAACCAUUCUGUUUAGAGAUCGGUUGGAGAGUGGAGACAAUGAUAUGGAGAAGAAAAUAAUAAGAGGGAAUGGAAGGGACCGAUCUCGAGAUCGGGAGAAGAAAGGCGAAGAAGGAGAAUGUCGAUCGACAGUCAGGUAUGGAGAGUGUAGAGGAAGAGAGGAGAGGAAGAAGACGAAACUAGACGAGACGAGACGAGACAUAACUGUGGUGUCGGUCGGCUCUCGGCUGGCUGCUGCUGUUUGGAGAAGGCAAAAAGUAUCGAAACCAUAUAGUUU